GGAUUGUGGCUCAGUGGUACAGCACUUGCCUAGCAUGUGUGAGGCCCUGGGUUUGAUCCUCAGCACCA
This 68-nucleotide transfer RNA is filed under the name Marmota monax (woodchuck). Its description in RNAcentral is "tRNA.Ala". The record is from RNAcentral. Lineage: Eukaryota; Metazoa; Chordata; Mammalia; Rodentia; Sciuridae.